GAAAGGGAACGACUUUGGCGAUGGAAGGAUAUUCAAAAUGGACAUGACUAUAGGGAUAUAACAGAUCACCCAAGGGGGUAACUCGGCUUCUGGUAUGAACAUUGUUAGUGGAAGUAUAAUACAGAACAGCGUGAAUGAGUAAAAUGGUAAUAUCAGCUUCCUCAGGAGAAAGAAUAGCAAUAUCAGGUUGGCCUUCUUAUGUGAAUGAGUAAAAAGGUAAUAUCAGCUUCCUUAGAAGAAAGAACAGGAAUAUCAGGUUGGCCUUCUUCCAGACAGAGAUCUGUGCAAAAAAUAUACGACAUUGUUAAAAAUUUACUAGUCCAAAAUUUCCAUAACUCAUAUGGUUGGCAGGUGAUAUUGAGAGUAUGAAAAUAUAAAGCAACACUCACCU
RNAcentral lists this long non-coding RNA (391 nucleotides) under Nicotiana benthamiana. Its description in RNAcentral is "long non-coding RNA (NBEN_LNC017446)". Lineage: Eukaryota; Viridiplantae; Streptophyta; Magnoliopsida; Solanales; Solanaceae. The record is from RNAcentral.